This 489-nucleotide ribosomal RNA is filed under the name uncultured bacterium. RNAcentral's name for it is "bacterial SSU rRNA". It matches the Rfam family "Bacterial small subunit ribosomal RNA", at positions 30 to 511 of the family's 1533-position model. The record is from RNAcentral.
AUUGAACGCUGGCGGCAUGCCUAACACAUGCAAGUCGAACGGCAGCGCGGGCUUCGGCCUGGCGGCGAGUGGCGGACGGGUGAGUAAUGCAUAGGAAUCUGCCCAGUAGCGGGGGAUAGCCCGGGGAAACCCGGAUUAAUACCGCAUACGCCCUACGGGGAAAGCAGGGGAUCUUCGGACCUUGCACUAUUGGAUGAGCCUAUGUCUGAUUAGCUUGUUGGUGGGGUAACGGCCUACCAAGGCGACGAUCAGUAGCUGGUCUGAGAGGACGAUCAGCCACACCGGAACUGAGACACGGUCCGGACUCCUACGGGAGGCAGCAGUGGGGAAUAUUGGACAAUGGGCGAAAGCCUGAUCCAGCAAUGCCGCGUGUGUGAAGAAGGCCUGCGGGUUGUAAAGCACUUUCAGUUGGGAAGAACCAGCAGCUGGCUAAUAUCCAGUUGUCCUGACGUAACCAACAGAAGAAGCACCGGCUAAACUCCGUGCCAG